Molecule: ribosomal RNA, 1491 nt
Filed under: metagenome
Description: bacterial SSU rRNA
Rfam family: Bacterial small subunit ribosomal RNA
Source: RNAcentral
AGAGUUUGAUCCUGGCUCAGGAUGAACGCUAGCUACAGGCUUAACACAUGCAAGUCGAGGGGAAACGAUAUUGGAAGCUUGCUUCCGAUAGGCGUCGACCGGCGCACGGGUGAGUAACGCGUAUCCAACCUGCCCACCACUUGGGGAUAACCUUGCGAAAGUAAGACUAAUACCCAAUGAUAUCUCUAGAAGACAUCUGAAAGAGAUUAAAGAUUUAUCGGUGAUGGAUGGGGAUGCGUCUGAUUAGCUUGUUGGCGGGGUAACGGCCCACCAAGGCAACGAUCAGUAGGGGUUCUGAGAGGAAGGUCCCCCACAUUGGAACUGAGACACGGUCCAAACUCCUACGGGAGGCAGCAGUGAGGAAUAUUGGUCAAUGGACGAGAGUCUGAACCAGCCAAGUAGCGUGCAGGAAGACGGCCCUAUGGGUUGUAAACUGCUUUUAUAAGGGAAUAAAGUGAGAGUCGUGACUCUUUUUGCAUGUACCUUAUGAAUAAGGACCGGCUAAUUCCGUGCCAGCAGCCGCGGUAAUACGGAAGGUCCGGGCGUUAUCCGGAUUUAUUGGGUUUAAAGGGAGCGUAGGCCGGAGAUUAAGCGUGUUGUGAAAUGUAGACGCUCAACGUCUGCACUGCAGCGCGAACUGGUUUCCUUGAGUACGCACAAAGUGGGCGGAAUUCGUGGUGUAGCGGUGAAAUGCUUAGAUAUCACGAAGAACUCCGAUUGCGAAGGCAGCUCACUGGAGCGCAACUGACGCUGAAGCUCGAAAGUGCGGGUAUCGAACAGGAUUAGGUACCCUGGUAGUCCGCACGGUAAACGAUGGAUGCCCGCUGUUGGUCUGAAUAGGUCAGCGGCCAAGCGAAAGCAUUAAGCAUCCCACCUGGGGAGUACGCCGGCAACGGUGAAACCCAAAGGAAUUGACGGGGGCCCGCACAAGCAGUGGAGUAUGUGGUUUAAUUCGAAGCAACGCGAAGAACCUUACCAGGUCUUGACAUCGUAUGCUAUCUGUAGAAGUACAGAGUUCUCUCCGGAGACGUACAGACAGGUGGUGCAUGGUUGUCGUCAGCUCGUGUCGUGAGAUGUUGGGUUAAGUCCCGCAACGAGCGCAACCCUUAUGUUUAGUUGCUACGCAAGAGCACUCUAGACAGACUGCCGUUGACAAAACGGAGGAAGGUGGGGAUGACGUCAAAUCAUCAUGCCCCUUAUGACCUGGGCUACACACGUACUACAAUGGCCGUUAACAGAGGGCAGCGACACCGCGAGGUGAAGCGAAUCUCCAAAAACGGUCUCAGUUCAGAUUGCAGGCUGCAACCCGCCUGCAUGAAGAUGGAAUUGCUAGUAAUCGCGGAUCAGAAUGCCGCGGUGAAUACGUUCCCGGGCCUUGUACACACCGCCCGUCACACCAUGAGAGUUGGCAACACCCGAAGUCGGUAGGCGAACGCAAGAAGCCGCCGCCGAAGGUGGGGUCGAUGAUUGGGGUGAAGUCGUAACAAGGUA